UUUGGUGAUGAUGGCGGAAGGGAACCACGCGUACCCAUCCCGAACACGAACGUUAAGCCUUCCAGCGUCGAUGGUACUUGGACCGCAGGGUCC
RNAcentral lists this ribosomal RNA (93 nucleotides) under Paenibacillus validus. The record is from RNAcentral. Lineage: Bacteria; Bacillati; Bacillota; Bacilli; Caryophanales; Paenibacillaceae.